GGUUAUGGCUCAGCGGUAGAGCACUCGCCUCACAUGUGCAAGUCCCUGGGUUCAAUCCUCAGCACCA
Molecule: transfer RNA, 67 nt
Filed under: Marmota monax (woodchuck)
Lineage: Eukaryota; Metazoa; Chordata; Mammalia; Rodentia; Sciuridae
Description: tRNA.Val
Source: RNAcentral